UACGUAGGUGGCAAGCGUUGUCCGGAUUUACUGGGCGUAAAGGGUGCGUAGGCGGCCAUUUAAGUCAGAUGUGAAAUACCCGAGCUUAACUUGGGUGCUGCAUUUGAAACUGGGUGUCUAGAGUGCAGGAGAGGUAAGUGGAAUUCCUAGUGUAGCGGUGAAAUGCGUAGAGAUUAGGAAGAACACCAGUGGCGAAGGCGACUUACUGGACUGUAACUGACGCUGAGGCAUGAAAGCGUGGGGAGCAAACAGG
Molecule: ribosomal RNA, 253 nt
Filed under: uncultured bacterium
Lineage: Bacteria
Description: partial 16S ribosomal RNA
Rfam family: Bacterial small subunit ribosomal RNA
Source: RNAcentral